GUAUAACAUUCUACCUCAGUUACAUGUAAGUAUAACAUUCUACCUCAGUUACAUGUAAGUAUAACAUUCUACCUCAGUUACAUGUAAGUAUAACCUUCUACCUCAGUUACAUGUAAGUAUAACCUUCUAUCUCAGUUACAAGAGCUGAUGAUAAUCUCAUCUGAGAUGUGACAAUAUUGGUGAUGGAUAUACCGGGUUAUGAGAUGUGGGUGGGGUUCCACCUCCAUCCAUAUACUGACGCAAACCUGGGAUCAAAAUCGCUUGUCUUUUUCUUUCAACUAAUCUCUGUAUCUGUAUGUAAUGUACCUGACAGGAAACAAAUACUAUUUGAACCCAGGUCUGUUACACUACAGAGCUGUGGCUCUUAUCUCAUCCACAGCAGGUUUACCAUAUAGGUGGGAAUUGAGUGCUAUUUGGGAUGCAGGCUAUGCUUCUCUGUGCCCUUUCCAUUGCCCCAGGGCGCCACACAGAGAGAAGCUCAUCCUCCAACCGCUAAUGGAACAUGUGACCUUUGACUUUUACACUGUCAGCUGCACUGAGCAAGAGGGUCUGGGCUGGUGAGGAGCCAGGAAGAGGUGGACUAGAGAAUUAGAACCAGAUUCAGAGAGACCAGGAAGUAACAUGAAUUCUGUGUAUCUAUGGAUUUUAAAUGAGGAGGUGUACUGGAGAGCAGGAACCAGAGAGGUGCCAGGGAGAAACAGGCACUGAGCAAGAGGACCUGGUUAGGAGGAGGAGGUGAACUGAGGAAGUGAGACCAGAGAGACCAGGAAGGAACAGUUAUACUGCUGUUCCUGUCUUCCAGUGAGGGAAGAGGUUGCCAUUUGGGAAGCAGACCCGGACAGCAGGCACUUUCAGACUUUCCUUAUUCUGGAUCCAAAAAGAAAGGAGACACCAGAAUGUUUUUGAAGAUAGCGGCAAUUUUGGAAAACAGAGCUACUUCUCAUUCAUCCCCUUUUCUCUGAAAAUGGCACAUGUCAAAGAAACAACGCAGCGGUCCAGCCCAACUGGAAGACUGGUGCAGAAUGCCGUGUCCAAGGGGCUAACUGGCAUAGCCUGCUCAGAUGAGCAGUGACAAUGGAGUUCAGGGACUCGGAGGAACCUUGAGCCAAAGUGGUUAAACAGCAUUGACUUCCCACACCAUAAGGCCAGUGACCAAUAUGCAGAAAAGCGUCCGGAAUGUCCACCUCUGGUUCCCACUCCUGCCUCCCACCUCUGGUUCCCACUCCUGCCUCCCACCCCUGGUUCCCACUCCUGCCUCCCACCCCUGCCUCCCACCCCUGGUUCCCACUCCUGCAUUCCACUCACAGGAGGAAUUUAAUAGGAGCCUGAGACACCUGCAUCUGCCUGUGGGGAAUCUGCUCUAUGAGUGUGUUAAUGCUGAACCGACAAUAACAUCACAGCCAGUAGCAUCCCAGGUAAAAUUGGACGGAAAGGAAUAUUUAUUUAUGGCUGUACCAUUUUCAAUGUAUUUGAAGAUAAUGAGCUCCCAGUGGCUGGAAGAAUGUGGAUACUCUGUGGACCACAGAGGCACUGAUGUCAGUGUUGAAGAGCCAUGGUUAUCAGCAAGCCCUGGUGGAAUACUGAAAUCCAAGGAGUUGUUGAAGAUCAAGUGUCCUGUCAUGGGGUAGAGGCUGUGAUUUUCUGGAUGAUGUCUUCAAUAGGAAAGUGAUGUGAAGGUGAUGGAGGACUACACCUCGACUGCAACCACAUGGGCCACGUGGCUACAACAUGCAGGUACAAAUUGGUCUGUUUCGCACAGGACUGAGAGAAAGUAAGGUGUUCAUCUGGACUGCAUCCCAGCAAGUUGUCAUCCCUGUUCCCUAUGAUACACAGUCCUGUGCAGAGGCUGUCCUGAGGUUGAAGGCAUUCUACUCAACACACAUGCUGACAUUUAUUGUUGAGGAGCAUCAGGCAGAUUGUCACUGAGUGACAAAUAUAUAUAUGCAGCUCUGUAGAAGUAUGUAGUCAGAUGUCUCACCUGUUUGCAGUUACUAUUAAAACCUUGUUUUUCAAUUAAAAAGCCUGACUUAAUGC
Molecule: long non-coding RNA, 2034 nt
Organism: Oncorhynchus tshawytscha (Chinook salmon)
Lineage: Eukaryota; Metazoa; Chordata; Actinopteri; Salmoniformes; Salmonidae
Source: Ensembl